GACGGAACACGCUGUUCAUACAGCUCUGUGUGGAGCAGGUGGGGAAGCUGUCCUGCUGUACCUACCGAAAGGAGCCAGAGAGAUUCCACAUCUCAGGUCAACCAUACCAGGACAGCCAUUUCUGCAGUCCUUGACAACCUCUACUACAGAAAUAAAACGGGACCAGAGUCAAGCUGUACCUGCUGAAAACUGCCUUGCUCUCCCAUGGAUUCAUAAGAAGGAAAAGGAGGGUAGCCUCCAGUGAAAUGGAAGGACUGAAGAAUGACUGGAGAUUUAUCUCAUACCAGCCUGACUUCUACAUUGCAGGUCAAAUGAAGACUACUGUGUAUUAUUGCCUUUAAAAUAAAAAU
Long non-coding RNA from Poecile atricapillus (Black-capped chickadee), 350 nucleotides. RefSeq lists it as uncharacterized. Lineage: Eukaryota; Metazoa; Chordata; Aves; Passeriformes; Paridae. The record is from RefSeq and is a predicted model, not a curated record. The transcript is spliced from 3 exons.